RNAcentral lists this long non-coding RNA (222 nucleotides) under Elaeis guineensis (African oil palm). Its description in RNAcentral is "long non-coding RNA (EGUI_LNC034942)". The record is from RNAcentral. Lineage: Eukaryota; Viridiplantae; Streptophyta; Magnoliopsida; Arecales; Arecaceae.
AGGUAUCUAUUUCUCUUAGGGAUGCCUAAGAUAACAUUUAAUUCAAGAACGAGUAGGUAUACACUGCUAUUUAUCUAUUUUACUCGAGGAUGAGUAAAGUUUAAAUUAGAAGAUGCAAUAAAUACUUAAAUUAAGUCAUUAAAAAUAUUUAAUUUUAUUUAAUUAUUCUAUAUUUAUUAAAAAUUUGAUGCUCUCUAAUUUAUUUUACAGAUAAUUAAUAGA